GUUCCAUGAUCUCUUCUUCUAUUGGUUCAAUCAUAAGAAGUCCUCCUUUACUACAGCGAUGCUCACGGCUCCACGGCUCGUCACAAUGCCAACAUAACCCCUUCGUAUAUCGCUCCCGAAGCUCCUCUCUUGUUAACCUCUUUGGUGUAGGGACUUGGUUGAUAGUAGGGGGGGCUAAGGGCUUCAAUAUUACUGGUUGAGGAGCAACCCUAGUCCUCCGAGCUUCAUGGUUCAAUUGCUCCUCUUGAUGUCGUGCGAAAGAGAUGGCUGCCAUAAGCGU
RNAcentral lists this long non-coding RNA (280 nucleotides) under Musa acuminata (dwarf banana). RNAcentral describes it as "long non-coding RNA (MACU_LNC006954)". The record is from RNAcentral. Lineage: Eukaryota; Viridiplantae; Streptophyta; Magnoliopsida; Zingiberales; Musaceae.